GCCUCGGUAGCUCAGUCUAGUUAGAGCAACAGCCUUGUAAGCUGUGGGUCAGGGGAGCGAAGCCCCUCCGAGGCUCCA
Molecule: transfer RNA, 78 nt
Filed under: Nitrososphaeria archaeon
Lineage: Archaea; Thermoproteati; Nitrososphaerota; Nitrososphaeria
Description: tRNA-Thr
Rfam family: tRNA
About the family: Transfer RNA (tRNA) molecules are approximately 80 nucleotides in length. Their secondary structure includes four short double-helical elements and three loops (D, anti-codon, and T loops). Further hydrogen bonds mediate the characteristic L-shaped molecular structure. tRNAs have two regions of fundamental functional importance: the anti-codon, which is responsible for specific mRNA codon recognition, and the 3' end, to which the tRNAs corresponding amino acid is attached (by aminoacyl-tRNA synthetases). tRNAs cope with the degeneracy of the genetic code in two manners: having more than one tRNA (with a specific anti-codon) for a particular amino acid; and 'wobble' base-pairing, i.e. permitting non-standard base-pairing at the 3rd anti-codon position.
Source: RNAcentral